This 851-nucleotide long non-coding RNA is filed under the name Ananas comosus (pineapple). Its description in RNAcentral is "long non-coding RNA (ACOM_LNC041200)". The record is from RNAcentral. Lineage: Eukaryota; Viridiplantae; Streptophyta; Magnoliopsida; Poales; Bromeliaceae.
UUGUGGCGGGUCUGUACGUCACGUGGGCCAGGUUGAAAAAAAAAAAAAUGGUACAUCUUCCGCGACUCUGAGUUUUAAAAAUGGUAAUGGCUUUUAAAUCGGCCCCGGGGCGUGACACCAACCCCUCAGGGUACAUCAACCUCAAAGGUCAUCGACGACAGAAAUCAAGAAACUGACACGAGAUACAACAACCGACCAAUCAGGUCACGGAAAAUAGAUACAAUGCACUGACCGACUAGGUCACCAUCUCACAGAUAGUCAUGAAACCUCUCUACUCUAGACAGAAUACAGGAUAUGUAGAACAGGCAAGUAGAGCAAUAAGGAAACAUAAUAUCACAUACCAAUAAACUACUCUACUCCUACACAUGAUACUAAGCAGGGAAACAUCUGAGUAGAGAAUAACCAAACAACGUGGGUGUAAUGUAAACAAUAGAGGUGCAAAGCUCAACAUAUAAUAUAUGCAUGGAUAAUAACAAAAGAGCAAGGGUAAGAAACCAUCACCGAGCGUGCACCACUGUACCAACGUCGGAUUGAAGUACCCACCUGUACGGAUGUCGCGCCUGUCUCCUGACUGCGAAAGAAUAUCAACCGAACCUAAGGAAGGUCCACCGGGUUAGUAUCUAACCCACAACUAAGAAACCCUAAAAGCAUAACCCCACAAAUAAACCCACGAGAAUCGGUUUCCCAAACCGAUCACCGUAAUACGCUGGAAAUCCCGUAAUCGCACCGAGACUCCGUCGGGACCCACGGACUGUCCCGGAACUCACCGACUCGUACUACGAGUCACCCGCUGCCCCUAAAUACAAAUUUACGUGUGACUUGGCAGCAGAGACCUUAACUCACUCCAAAAC